This 332-nucleotide unclassified non-coding RNA is filed under the name soil metagenome. RNAcentral describes it as "partial contains 5.8S ribosomal RNA, internal transcribed spacer 2, and large subunit ribosomal RNA". The stretch from base 1 to 120 matches the Rfam family "5.8S ribosomal RNA", at positions 35 to 154 of the family's 154-position model. The record is from RNAcentral.
GAUGAAGAACUUAGCGAAAUGCGAUAAGUAGUAUGAAUUGCAGAAUUCAGUGAAUCAUCGAAUCUUUGAACGCACAUUGCGCCCGCCAGUAUUCUGGCGGGCAUGCCUGUUCGAGCGUCAUUUCAACCCUCAAGCACAGCUUGGUGUUGGGACUCGCGUUAAUUCGCGUUCCCCAAAUUGAUUGGCGGUCACGUCGAGCUUCCAUAGCGUAGUAGUAAAACCCUCGUUACUGGUAAUCGUCGCGGCCACGCCGUUAAACCCCAACUUCUGAAUGUUGACCUCGGAUCAGGUAGGAAUACCCGCUGAACUUAAGCAUAUCAAUAAGCGGAGGA